AGGACGAACGCUGGUGGCGUGCUUAACACAUGCAAGUCGAACGGGCGAUUGAAAGCUUGCUUUGAUGAGCCUAGUGGCAAACGGGUGAGUAACGCGUAGGCAACCUGCCCUCAGGAUGGGGACAACGGCCCGAAAGGACCGCUAAUACCGAAUGACGUAUCGGGAUCGCAUGAUACUGAUACCAAAGGCGGAGCAAUCCGUCACCUGAGGAUGGGCCUGCGUCUGAUUAGGUAGUUGGUGAGGUAACGGCCCACCAAGCCGACGAUCAGUAGCCGGUCUGAGAGGAUGAACGGCCACAUUGGGACUGAGACACGGCCCAGACUCCUACGGGAGGCAGCAGUGGGGAAUCUUCCGCAAUGGGCGAAAGCCUGACGGAGCAACGCCGCGUGAGUGAAAGAAGGUCUUCGGAUCGUAAAGCUCUGUUGUCGGGGACGAAGGGGCAGAUCAGGAAAUGGGUCUGCUUAGACGGUACCUGACGAGGAAGCCACGGCUAACUACGUGCCAGCAGCGGC
This 512-nucleotide ribosomal RNA is filed under the name uncultured bacterium. Its description in RNAcentral is "bacterial SSU rRNA". It matches the Rfam family "Bacterial small subunit ribosomal RNA", at positions 26 to 518 of the family's 1533-position model. The record is from RNAcentral.